This 496-nucleotide ribosomal RNA is filed under the name uncultured bacterium. Its description in RNAcentral is "bacterial SSU rRNA". It matches the Rfam family "Bacterial small subunit ribosomal RNA", at positions 903 to 1397 of the family's 1533-position model. The record is from RNAcentral.
AAAUGAAUAGACGGGGGCCCGCACAAGCGGAGGAACAUGUGGUUUAAUUCGAUGAUACGCGAGGAACCUUACCUGGGCUUGAAUGUACGUUGCAUAAACAGGAAACUGUUUUUUACCUUCGGGUACUAUGUACAAGGUGCUGCAUGGUUGUCGUCAGCUCGUGCCGUGAGGUGUCGGGUUAAGUCCCAUAACGAGCGCAACCCUCAUUGCCAGUUACCAACACGUAAAGGUGGGGACUCUGGUGAGACUGCCGGUGUAAACCGAGAGGAAGGUGGGGAUGACGUCAAAUCAGCACGGCCCUUAUGUCCAGGGCUACACACGUGUUACAAUGGUCAAUACAAAGGGCAGCGACUUGGCAACAAGUAGCCAAUCCUAAAAGUUGAUCUUAGUUCGGAUCGGAGUCUGCAACUCGACUCCGUGAAGCUGGAUUCGCUAGUAAUCGUAGAUCAGCCAUGCUACGGUGAAUACGUUCCCGGGCCUUGUACACACCGCCCGU